AUUGAACGCUGGCGGCAGGCCUAACACAUGCAAGUCGAGCGGCAGCACUUCGGGUGGCGAGCGGCGGACGGGUGAGUAACACGUAGGAAUCUACCUAGUAGUGGGGGAUAGCCCGGGGAAACUCGGAUUAAUACCGCAUACGCUCUACGGAGGAAAGGGGGCUUCGGCUCUCGCUAUUAGAUGAGCCUGCGUCGGAUUAGCUAGUUGGUAGGGUAAUGGCCUACCAAGGCGACGAUCUGUAGCUGGUCUGAGAGGACGAACAGCCACACUGGGACUGAGACACGGCCCAGACUCCUACGGGAGGCAGCAGUGGGGAAUAUUGGACAAUGGGCGAAAGCCUGAUCCAGCAAUGCCGCGUGUGUGAAGAAGGCCUGCGGGUUGUAAAGCACUUUCAGUUGGGAAGAUGAUGACGUUACCAACAGAAGAAGCACCGGCUAACUCCGUG
Molecule: ribosomal RNA, 445 nt
Filed under: uncultured bacterium
Lineage: Bacteria
Description: bacterial SSU rRNA
Rfam family: Bacterial small subunit ribosomal RNA
Source: RNAcentral